UAGGGAAUUUUCGUCAAUGGGCGCAAGCCUGAACGAGCAAUGCCGCGUGAACGAGGAAGGUCUUCGGAUCGUAAAGUUCUGUUGAAGGGGAAAAAAGAGCGGAGAGAGGAAAUGGUCUCCGAUUGAUAUUACCCUUCGAGGAAGUCACGGCUAACUACGUGCC
Molecule: ribosomal RNA, 163 nt
Filed under: uncultured bacterium
Lineage: Bacteria
Description: partial 16S ribosomal RNA
Rfam family: Bacterial small subunit ribosomal RNA
Source: RNAcentral